CGGACGUAUGUUUAGAUGGCUCUCGCUUGGGAAUUGCCUUUCGUCGUGGUUUUGGUGCCCAGGUGCGAUGACUGUUUAUUGUGCCUUCCUAGUGAUAUCUGUUUCUGUGUGUAUCUUGGAAGAUACCUCCGGAAGCCGUUGGUCUUCGUGAAUUGAAGAUGAACCAACAGGCACGAGACGUGGGAAAAUCAACAGAUACGUCGUGGAGAUGUUGAAAGAGAUCAAGUAGGGCAUACAAUUCACCCAUACGUCUACAUUAUCCACGGAACGAUUUAUGAUGUCCGACACUAUACCUUUCGGGAAAAAAAAUGUUCCGACAUCAGAAGACUGCAGAAGAAAUAGAGAUAUCUAUAAUAUUUACAUGUUCAGUCUUUCAAUUAUUACGCUUUUAGCCACCAACUGUUUUUCUGUAUGCCAUUGGCACGUACAGUCUGCCCCGCUGCUGGACAAAGAGUGUCGACUCUGGUUCAGGAAUGUAGCACAGGCUGUAUAGUGGCCCACUGUUGAUGCUGAAUGAAUGGCAAUGAUGUGAUGUUGAGUUUGAUGUUGAAUUAUUCAAUGGUGUGAUGUGAGGUUGAGUUUCAUGUUGAAUGAUGGGCAAUGAUGUGAUGUGAUGUUGAAUGAUGGGUAAUGAUGUGAUGUGAAUUUGAAUUUUAUGUUGAAUUAUGAGCAAUGAUGUCAUGGUGACAGUAAUGUUGAGUGACGCGCAAUGAUUUGAUGCUGAGUUUGACGUUGACUUAUGUGCGAAGACGAGAUAUUGAAUGUGAAGAGCUCCUUACUUCCCUGAGCUUCCCUGCCUCGCGUUGCAUCCUUGUCAUCAUGAACCAGCUUGUCCACGCCCUCUCUCUAUUGGUGAAGAGCUACGAUGGAUUUUUCAAAUCUGCGGUUUAGGGUGUGGGGUUGACAUU
This is a long non-coding RNA of Ornithodoros turicata, 908 nucleotides long. RefSeq lists it as uncharacterized. The transcript has 3 exons. Lineage: Eukaryota; Metazoa; Arthropoda; Arachnida; Ixodida; Argasidae. The record is from RefSeq and is a predicted model, not a curated record.